GGCAGUUCUCAGGUGAUGCACACUGGAAUCGGGCUCCCUCCUCUCUUGUUCCAGGUGUGUCACCUGAGAAUCACA
This is a non-coding RNA of Myotis lucifugus (little brown bat), 75 nucleotides long. Lineage: Eukaryota; Metazoa; Chordata; Mammalia; Chiroptera; Vespertilionidae. The record is from Rfam.